GAGUGGCAGACGGGUGAGUAACGCGUGGGAACCUUCCCAAUGGUGCGGAAUAGCCCAGGGAAACUUGGGGUAAUACCGCAUAAGCCGGGGGAAAGAUUUAUCGCCAUUGGAUGGGCCCGCGUCGGAUUAGCUAGUUGGUGAGGUAAUGGCUCACCAAGGCAACGAUCCGUAGCUGGUUUGAGAGAAUGACCAGCCACACUGGGACUGAGACACGGCCCAGACUCCUACGGGAGGCAGCAGUGGGGAAUCUUGGACAAUGGGCGCAAGCCUGAUCCAGCCAUGCCGCGUGAGUGACGAAGGCCUUAGGGUUGUAAAGCUCUUUUGCCGGGGACGAUAAUGACGGUACCCGGAGAAUAAGUCCCGGCUAACUUCGUGCCAGCAGCCGCGGUAAUACGAAGGGGACUAGCGUUGUUCGGAAUUACUGGGCGUAAAGCGCACGUAGGCGGAUUUGUUAGUCAGGGGUGAAAUCCCGGGGCUCAACCUCGGAACUGCCUUUGAUACUGCAAAUCUCGAGUCCGAUAGAGGUGGGUGGAACUCCUAGUGUAGAGGUGAAAUUCGUAGAUAUUAGGAAGAACACCGGUGGCGAAGGCGGCCCACUGGAUCGGUAC
This 608-nucleotide ribosomal RNA is filed under the name uncultured bacterium. Its description in RNAcentral is "bacterial SSU rRNA". It matches the Rfam family "Bacterial small subunit ribosomal RNA", at positions 93 to 740 of the family's 1533-position model. The record is from RNAcentral.